RNAcentral lists this ribosomal RNA (505 nucleotides) under Wormaldia triangulifera. Its description in RNAcentral is "bacterial SSU rRNA". It matches the Rfam family "Eukaryotic small subunit ribosomal RNA", at positions 626 to 1116 of the family's 1831-position model. The record is from RNAcentral. Lineage: Eukaryota; Metazoa; Arthropoda; Insecta; Trichoptera; Philopotamidae.
AAGCUCGUAGUUGAMAUUGUGUUCCGCGGCGUCUGUCUGCCUUUGCGGUACGACGGGCGCGUCUGCGGGAUUUCUCGCCGGUGCGUGUUCUCCGCCGAGGCGCGGGGCAUUCUAUGCGUCGCGCCGAGGCGGGCCCUCGCGGCUGUUUACUUUGAACAAAUUAGAGUGCUCAAAGCGGGCUUAUAUUUGCCUGAAUAUUGUGCGCAUGGAAUAAUAGAAUAGGACCUCGGUUCUGUUUUGUUGGCUUUCUGAUACCGGAGGUAAUGAUUAAUAGGGACAACUGGGGGCAUUCGUAUUGCGACGUUAGAGGUAAAUUCUUGGAUCGUCGCAAGACGGACUAAAGCGAAAGCAUUUGCCAAAGGUGUUUUCAUUAAUCAAGAACGAAAGUUAGAGGUUCGAAGGCGAUUAGAUACCGCUGUAGUUCUAACCAUAAAUGUUGCCAGCCAGCGAUCCGCCGUAGUUUCUCAUUUUUGACUCGGUGGGCAGCUCCCGGGAANCCAAAGCU